AAUCAACGCUGGCGGCGUGCCUCAGACAUGCAAGUCGAACGCGAAAGUCCCCUUCGGGGGGCAAGUAGAGUGGCGCACGGGUGAGUAACACGUAGGUAAUCUACCUUUGGAUGGGGAAUAACAACCGGAAACGGUUGCUAAUACCGCAUAAUGCAGCGGCACCUAAUGGUGACAGUUGUUAAAGCGGGGGAUCGAACGACCUCGCGUCUGAAGAGGAGCCUGCGGCGGAUUAGCUAGUUGGUAAGGUAACGGCUUACCAAGGCAACGAUCCGUAGCCGGCCUGAGAGGGCGGUCGGGCCACACUGACACUGACAUACGGGUCAGACUCCUACGGGAGGCAGCAGUCGGGAAUUUUGGGCAAUGGGCGAAAGCCUGACCCAGCAACGCCGCGUGAAGGAU
Molecule: ribosomal RNA, 399 nt
Filed under: uncultured bacterium
Lineage: Bacteria
Description: bacterial SSU rRNA
Rfam family: Bacterial small subunit ribosomal RNA
Source: RNAcentral